Molecule: non-coding RNA, 118 nt
Organism: Hypoxylon sp. NC1633
Lineage: Eukaryota; Fungi; Ascomycota; Sordariomycetes; Xylariales; Hypoxylaceae
Source: the annotation of a GenBank genome assembly
GGCGCCAUCGUCUAGCUGGUAGACAAUACGAUGUGGAUCUUGUAGGAGCUUGGGAUUUAGGGUCCCGGGCCCGGGAGCCACAGACGUGUAGACGACGGUUCGAUUCCGUCUGGCGCCA